AUUAUUGCAACAAGAGAAUUGUUUGAAUAAAAAUAUAGUUCUCUUCCAUACAUUUUAUUUUUUUUUUAUACAAACAAAAAUUCACACAUUUGAUCAAAAUCUUUUGUCCAGAUUACACAAAAUUUUUUUGUCUAGACUCCAAAUCAUCUAAUAAAGUCAUAUAUAGGGAUAAAAAAACAACUCUACGACCUGAUGAUGGGGAAGCCAACAGUAUUCAAGGAUGAUGUAAUGAGCUUCAGUGGUCAUUAGAUACCUAUUUAAAAUGGGAGUGAACAGAAGGAUUACAGCCUGAGACCUUUGGAUAAAUUCAAACCAUCACUUGAAAAUACACAUUUAAAAUAUUUCAUAUAGAUUUCUGCAAUCAGUAGAAUAUAUUUCUAAAAACCAUAAAAUAAGAUAUCCAAAAUAAAUAGCUCUGAUUUAAGCAUGAUAAUAUCACUGUCUUGAAAUCACAGAUAAUAUUUUAAUUGUAAUAAAAAAGAUUUAGAAAUAUAUAAGCAGAUAUUGUAAAUAACAUACACAUCAUUAUGUUAGCACCUCAGUAACCUAUAUAUUACAACUUUAAAAUUUUAGCGUUCUAUAUAAGAAAAAAAAUAUACAUUCAUAAUAUAUUAUUAAUAUGUCUAUAUACCUAUUAUCACAUAUGUACAAGUUAACAGAAUAUAUUUAGACAAUGACAUCAAGUUUUCAAAUUAGAUAAAUACCAAAAAAAACAAAGGCAAAUUGUAAAAUAACUUUAAAUAUUUAUAUAUAUAUUUCCUUAAAACGUUGAAGCUUUUGUUUUCUUUUAUAUUAUGAUGUCUUCAAAAUAGAAGAAUGACACUCACAUAGCGAUUCUCCAAAAAGGUUUAAUGGUAAAUUUCAAAUGCUAAAAAUUAUUGCAACAAAAAAAGGGUGUAAAAGUAGUUAAAAUAAGUUACAUUUUAUAAUUACAAGUGACAUUCACUAUACUAUGUAGGCAAAAUAAUAUUGAUAUAUGUAUAUAUAACAAUUAAUAUGUAAUAACAUAAUUAAAAUAGACUUUGGACUUCUUUUUAUUUUUUUUUACUUUGUUAUCUUCAGGUAUUCCAGUUUGUUUACAACAUUCCUUUAAACCAGUCAAUUUUUAUCCUACUUUUUUAAACUCUACAUCAGUGUUACCUAACUUUUUUUUCUUGUGGUGGUCAUAUGAAUUGUUGACACAUUCAUCACCUGCCACACCACAUCAAAUAGUUAUUCAGUCCAAUGGAACUGAGUCGUCCUUGCUUCAUUAUGCACUGCACAUAGAAGGUAUGAGGGGGCUGGAUAACACAGUGGUAAACCUUUUACAUACUUGAAAUUUUACAUUUUAACCCAAAGUUGCCAGAAAGUCGUCUGAUUAGGGUUCGAACUCAGAACACAGUUCAGAACACGUACCACACAACCAAGGAGCCAUCAUGCGUCAAGAUCUGCGGCAUUUAGUCAC
This is a non-coding RNA of Biomphalaria pfeifferi, 1444 nucleotides long. The record is from the annotation of a GenBank genome assembly. NCBI's taxonomy places the organism in Eukaryota, Metazoa, Mollusca, Gastropoda, Planorbidae.